GGGCCCGCACAAGCGGUGGAGCAUGUGGUUUAAUUCGAUGAUACGCGAGGAACCUUACCUGGGCUUAAAUGCAGAACGACAGACUGGGAAACCGGUUUUUCUUCGGACGUUUUGCAAGGUGCUGCAUGGUUGUCGUCAGCUCGUGCCGUGAGGUGUCGGGUUAAGUCCCAUAACGAGCGCAACCCCUAUUCUUAGUUGCCAGCGGUUCGGCCGGGGACUCUAAGAAAACUGCCCGCGCAAGCGGUGAGGAAGGUGGGGAUGACGUCAAAUCAUCACGGCCCUUACGUCCAGGGCCACACACGUGCUACAAUGGUGUUGACAGAGGGCAGCUAUACUGCGAAGUAAUGCUAAUCCCAAAACAACAUCUCAGUUCGGAUUGGAGUCUGCAACUCGACUCCAUGAAGCUGGAAUCGCUAGUAA
Molecule: ribosomal RNA, 420 nt
Filed under: uncultured bacterium
Lineage: Bacteria
Description: bacterial SSU rRNA
Rfam family: Bacterial small subunit ribosomal RNA
Source: RNAcentral